UGAAGAAAAACAUUUACUGAUGUCAUUGAUAAAAAGGACAAAGAGAAGGGGCCCCAAGAUGCUUCCUUGGGGAACACCUGAAGUAGCAACAAAGUGGUUCGACAAAACACCGUCUAUUGAUACCACACAGCAUCUAUCCGUCAGGUAUGAUCUAAGCCACUGCAGAAAGAUGGAGUGAAAGCCCAAGCAGGCUAACAAACAUUGUGAAGCGAGAAAGC
Long non-coding RNA from Rhagoletis zephyria (snowberry fruit fly), 218 nucleotides. RefSeq lists it as uncharacterized. The record is from RefSeq and is a predicted model, not a curated record. Lineage: Eukaryota; Metazoa; Arthropoda; Insecta; Diptera; Tephritidae.